AGAGUUUGAUCUGGCUCAGGAUGAACGCUAGCGGCAGGCCUAAUACAUGCAAGUCGAACGCUCAGUAGCAAUACUGGGAGUGGCGCACGGGUGCGUAACGCGUACACAAUCUACCUCUAAGCGGGGGACACCUCCUGGAAACGGGGAUUAAUACCGCAUAAUAUGCCGAAGUCGCAUGACUUUGGUAUUAAAGCAGCAAUGCACUUAGAGAUGAGUGUGCGUCCCAUUAGGUAGUUGGUGAGGUAACGGGCUCACCAAGCCUAUGAUGGGUAGCCGGUCUGAGAGGAUGGUCGGCCACACGGGCACUGAGACACGGGCCCGACUCCUACGGGAGGCAGCAGUAAGGAAUAUUGGUCAAUGGUGGAAACACUGAACCAGCCAUGCCGCGUGGAGGAAUAAGGUCCUACGGAUUGUAAACUCCUUUUGACGAGGAAGAAAAUGUUAGAUUUAUCUAAUUUUGACGGUACUCGUAGAAUAAGCACCGGCUAACUCCGUG
This 496-nucleotide ribosomal RNA is filed under the name uncultured bacterium. Its description in RNAcentral is "bacterial SSU rRNA". It matches the Rfam family "Bacterial small subunit ribosomal RNA", at positions 8 to 507 of the family's 1533-position model. The record is from RNAcentral.